AAGAAUUCCCAAGUACUGAGGG
RNAcentral lists this microRNA (22 nucleotides) under Branchiostoma floridae (Florida lancelet). Its description in RNAcentral is "Bfl-Mir-96-P2k_3p (mature (guide))". Lineage: Eukaryota; Metazoa; Chordata; Leptocardii; Amphioxiformes; Branchiostomatidae. The record is from RNAcentral.